RNAcentral lists this ribosomal RNA (504 nucleotides) under uncultured bacterium. RNAcentral's name for it is "bacterial SSU rRNA". It matches the Rfam family "Bacterial small subunit ribosomal RNA", at positions 17 to 518 of the family's 1533-position model. The record is from RNAcentral.
UUAUGGCUCAGGAUGAACGCUAGCUACAGGCUUAACACAUGCAAGUCGAGGGGUAGCAGGGUAGCAAUACCGCUGACGACCGGCGCACGGGUGAGUAACACGUAUCCAACUUCCCAUAAUUCAGGGAUAGCCUUUCGAAGAAAGAUUAAUACCUGAUGGUACCUUUUUCUGGGCAUCCAGUUAAGGUUAAAGAUUUAUCGGUUAUGGAUGGGGAUGCGUUCCAUUAGAUUGUUGGUGAGGUAACGGCUCACCAAGUCUUCGAUGGAUAGGGGUCUGAGAGGAAGGUCCCCCACAUUGGUACUGAGACACGGACCAAACUCCUACGGGAGGCAGCAGUGAGGAAUAUUGGUCAAUGGGCGAGAGCCUGAACCAGCCAAGUAGCGUGAAAAGGAUGAAGGUCCUAUGGAUUGUAAACUUCUUUUAUAACAGAAUAAAGUGAGCCACGUGUGGUUUUUUGUAUGUAUGUUAUGAAUAAGGAUCGGCUAACUCCGUGCCAGCCGCCGC